GGCAGUCGGUCUCGCAGGCUGGCUCAACCCGUUGGUCGUAGGUUCGAGUCCUACACGGCCCACCA
This 65-nucleotide transfer RNA is filed under the name Rehaibacterium terrae. RNAcentral describes it as "tRNA-Val". The record is from RNAcentral. Lineage: Bacteria; Pseudomonadati; Pseudomonadota; Gammaproteobacteria; Lysobacterales; Lysobacteraceae.